This 194-nucleotide ribosomal RNA is filed under the name uncultured bacterium. Its description in RNAcentral is "partial 16S ribosomal RNA". It matches the Rfam family "Bacterial small subunit ribosomal RNA", at positions 1293 to 1500 of the family's 1533-position model. The record is from RNAcentral.
UCGGAUUGUAGGCUGAAACUCGCCUACAUGAAGCUGGAAUUGCUAGUAAUCACAGGUCAGCAUACUGUGGUGAAUACGUUCCCGGGCCUUGUACACACCGCCCGUCACACCAUGAGAGUUGAGAAUACCCGAAGCCCAUGUCAAAGUGGUCGAAGGUAGGCUUGAUGAUUGGGGUGAAGUCGUAACAAGGUAAC